UGGGAAACCUACCUCUUAGCAGGGGAUAACAUUUGGAAACAAAUGCUAAUACCGUAUAAUAAUUAAAACCGCAUGGUUUUAGUUUAAAAGAUGGUCUUGCUAUCACUAAGAGAUGGUCCCGCGGUGUAUUAGUUAGUUGGUGAGGUAAUGGCUCACCAAGACAAUGAUACAUAGCCGAGUUGAGAGACUGACCGGCCACAAUGGGACUGAGACACGGCCCAUACUCCUACGGGAGGCAGCAGUAGGGAAUCUUCCACAAUGGACGAAAGUCUGAUGGAGCAACGCCGCGUGUGUGAUGAAGGGUUUCGGCUCGUAAAACACUGUUGUAAGAGAAGAAUGACAUUGAGAGUAACUGUUCAAUGUGUGACGGUAUCUUACCAGAAAGGAACGGCUAAAUACGUGCCAGCAGCCGCGGUAAUACGUAUGUUCCAAGCGUUAUCCGGAUUUAUUGGGCGUAAAGCGAGCGCAGACGGUUAUUUAAGUCUGAAGUGAAAGCCCUCGGCUCAACCGAGGAAUUGCUUUGGAAACUGGAUAACUUGAGUGCAGUAGAGGAAAGUGGAACUCCAUGUGUAGCGGUGAAAUGCGUAGAUAUAUGGAAGAACACCAGUGGCGAAGGCGGCUUUCUGGACUGUAACUGACGUUGAGGCUCGAAAGUGUGGGUAGCAAACAGGAUUAGAUACCCUGGUAGCCCACACUGUAAACGAUGAGUGCUAGUUGUUUGAGGGUUUCCGCCCUUGAGUGACGAAGCUAACGCAUUAAGCACUCCGCCUGGGGAGUACGACCGCAAGGUUGAAACUCAAAGGAAUUGACGGGGACCCGCACAAGCGGUGGAGCAUGUGUUUAUUUCGAAGCAACGCGAA
This 860-nucleotide ribosomal RNA is filed under the name uncultured bacterium. Its description in RNAcentral is "bacterial SSU rRNA". It matches the Rfam family "Bacterial small subunit ribosomal RNA", at positions 118 to 965 of the family's 1533-position model. The record is from RNAcentral.